Molecule: unclassified non-coding RNA, 223 nt
Filed under: plant metagenome
Description: partial contains small subunit ribosomal RNA, internal transcribed spacer 1, and 5.8S ribosomal RNA
Source: RNAcentral
UUUCCGUAGGUGAACCUGCGGAAGGAUCAUUAAAGAGAAUAUGCCCUUCGGGGUAGAUCUCCCACCCUUUGUUUAUAUUACCUUUGUUGCUUUGGCAGGCCCGUCUUCGAACCACCGGCUUCGGCUGGUCAGUGCUUGCCAGAGGACCCAAAACUCUUAUUAUUAAUGUCGUCUGAGUACUAUAUAAUAGUUAAAACUUUCAACAACGGAUCUCUUGGUUCUG